GGUGCUAUAAUGCAGUCGAGCGAACUGAUUAGAAGCUUGCUUCUAUGACGUUAGCGGCGGACGGGUGAGUAACACGUGGGCAACCUGCCUGUAAGACUGGGAUAACUUCGGGAAACCGAAGCUAAUACCGGAUAGGAUCUUCUCCUUCAUGGGAGAUGAUUGAAAGAUGGUUUCGGCUAUCACUUACAGAUGGGCCCGCGGUGCAUUAGCUAGUUGGUGAGGUAACGGCUCACCAAGGCAACGAUGCAUAGCCGACCUGAGAGGGUGAUCGGCCACACUGGGACUGAGACACGGCCCAGACUCCUACGGGAGGCAGCAGUAGGGAAUCUUCCGCAAUGGACGAAAGUCUGACGGAGCAACGCCGCGUGAGUGAUGAAGGCUUUCGGGUCGUAAAACUCUGUUGUUAGGGAAGAACAAGUACGAGAGUAACUGCUCGUACCUUGACGGUACCUAACCAGAAAGCCACGGCUAACUACGUGCCAGCAGCCGCGGUAAUACGUAGGUGGCAAGCGUUAUCCGGAAUUAUUGGGCGUAAAGCGCGCGCAGGCGGUUUCUUAAGUCUGAUGUGAAAGCCCACGGCUCAACCGUGGAGGGUCAUUGGAAACUGGGGAACUUGAGUGCAGAAGAGAAAAGCGGAAUUC
This 641-nucleotide ribosomal RNA is filed under the name Priestia megaterium. RNAcentral describes it as "bacterial SSU rRNA". It matches the Rfam family "Bacterial small subunit ribosomal RNA", at positions 43 to 669 of the family's 1533-position model. Lineage: Bacteria; Bacillati; Bacillota; Bacilli; Caryophanales; Bacillaceae. The record is from RNAcentral.